Molecule: long non-coding RNA, 429 nt
Filed under: Monodelphis domestica (gray short-tailed opossum)
Lineage: Eukaryota; Metazoa; Chordata; Mammalia; Didelphimorphia; Didelphidae
Description: lncRNA (ENSMODG00000033113.2)
Source: RNAcentral
UGUAGACCCCUUGAGGGCAGGGAAGAUCUCAUUUUAGCCUUUUGAUCCCCAGAGCCUAGAAUAUUUCCUGACACAUAGUAAGCACUGAAUAAUUGUCUGCUUGCUUCUUUUCCUGAAGUCUGGCAUUCUUUUUGCGCCAUUAUGGAGACACCAAAGUGAAGGGAAGAGUUUUCAUCUGCUUGGCAGCCUGCCCCAAGGGACAUCUGGGAAAGACUCCAAGGAGCAGAUGGUGCCAUGUCCACCACUCAGAUGCACUGAAGAGAUUCUUUUCUUAAUGACAGAAAGAAGAAUGUCUCCUUUCCAAAGCUCUUGCAUCAACUCUGGAUCUUAGGCAGAAAGAGAAUAGACAGAAAUUUUGAGACAUCAGACCUUAAGGGAACCAUUCCAUGGAGGAAUUCAUAUAUUGUAUUCUUGAACUAAGCACUCUGG